UAAAUAUUUACAUUAAUACCUGUUAACAAUGAUUACUUGUCAAAUUGCCUGACUGGUCAGGUUGCCAAUUUCCAUAUAAUCUGUGCGUGGUCCUUUAUGAAAAUGUUUUAUUACCUAUUAGUAUUCAUUUAGUAUAGAUUUUCAGCAAGUAAAGGACAUUACCGAUGAAUCUUCUCUUGAGCUUGGUAUGGAACCAUGCAUUGUAUUAUGUGGUGGCUUUAACAAUACUAUAAAAAUAUACCUAGAACAAGAACCUGUUACGGAAAAAUGUGACUCAUUUGGAGGGGCAUUGCAUUGCUUAAUUGCUCUUUAUUUUGUCUUUAAUUUGGAAUAUCCCAAAGAAGCAUCCUGCAUUUUGGAGUUCCUUCAAAGAUAUAUUUCAAAUAUACACCCCGAAGCAGGAACCAAAUCGAAAAAACAAAAUCUUUCGAAAAGAAAAGUUAUUAUUUUAUUAAAUAAUUAUUUAUAAAUUAUUAUAUUAUUUCUUUUUUUGAGCCCAUAAAUGUUAAAUGAAUUUGUUCCAACCUUAAA
This is a long non-coding RNA of Anthonomus grandis grandis, 531 nucleotides long. RefSeq lists it as uncharacterized. The transcript has 3 exons. NCBI's taxonomy places the organism in Eukaryota, Metazoa, Arthropoda, Insecta, Coleoptera, Curculionidae. The record is from RefSeq and is a predicted model, not a curated record.